RNAcentral lists this ribosomal RNA (399 nucleotides) under uncultured soil bacterium. RNAcentral's name for it is "bacterial SSU rRNA". It matches the Rfam family "Bacterial small subunit ribosomal RNA", at positions 91 to 486 of the family's 1533-position model. The record is from RNAcentral.
UUUAGUGGCGAACGGGUGCGUAACACGUGGGCAAUCUGCCUUAAAGUGGGGGAUAGCUCGGCGAAAGCCGAAUUAAUACCGCAUGUGGUCAGGGAAGACAUCUUCCCAACACCAAAGCCGGGGCAACCUGGCGCUUUUUGAUGAGCCCGCGGCCUAUCAGCUAGUUGGUGAGGUAACGGCUCACCAAGGCUAUGACGGGUAGCUGGUCUGAGAGGACGACCAGUCACACUGGAACUGAGACACGGUCCAGACACCUACGGGUGGCAGCAGUCGAGAAUUUUUCUCAAUGGGGGAAACCCUGAAGGAGCGACGCCGCGUGGAGGAUGAAGGCUUUCGGGUUGUAAACUCCUGUCAUUUGGGAACAAGGUGCACCGGUUAACUGCCGGAGUAUUGAUAGUA